CAAGUACUCCAUCCGUCCGGAAUUACUUGCCAUCAAAAUGGAUGUGUCUAGAACUAAAAUACAUCUAGAUACAUCCAUUUCAAUGACAAGUAUUUUCGGACGUAGGGAGUACAAG
This is a non-coding RNA of Triticum aestivum (bread wheat), 115 nucleotides long. The record is from Rfam. NCBI's taxonomy places the organism in Eukaryota, Viridiplantae, Streptophyta, Magnoliopsida, Poales, Poaceae.